GAUCCUAUAGGAGCAGCACCUUCUUCAAAUUAGAAAGAGAAGUUUCCUCAUCCCCAAAAAAGGUUUUUCUGAAUUUUCUUUUUAGAAUUGACAUAAGUUUUUAAAACUUAAAUUUAUGAACCAAAAAUAUAUUUUUCUGAACAGAAUUAUUUUUAAAUAAUUUGACUUUUUUCCAGUGAGGUAAAAAUCUUUGAUAAAACUGUGAUCUUUCCACCAGUCUUAGGCUGCUGAACUUGGUGCAACAGCAUAGACUAGUGGUGGGAAGGAAGAUUGUAACAGGGAGGUGUGGAUACCACUUUCUCUAGAAUCUAUCCUGAAUUUUAAGCUACACACAGCAGUAGCAGCAGACUAUUAAACUAAACUUGCUUAAGAGACAGCCGCAUCUUCUUGUGCAGUGCCAGCCUCGUCCUGUAGACAAAAUGGUGAAGGUCGGUGUGAACGGAUUUGGCCGUAUUGGGCGCCUGGUCACCAGGGCUGCCAUUUGCAGUGGCAAAGUGGAGAUUGUUGCCAUCAACGACCCCUUCAUUGACCUCAACUACAUGGUCUACAUGUUCCAGUAUGACUCCACUCACGGCAAAUUCAACGGCACAGUCAAGGCCGAGAAUGGGAAGCUUGUCAUCAACGGGAAGCCCAUCACCAUCUUCCAGGAGCGAGACCCCACUAACAUCAAAUGGGGUGAGGCCGGUGCUGAGUAUGUCGUGGAGUCUACUGGUGUCUUCACCACCAUGGAGAAGGCCGGGGCCCACUUGAAGGGUGGAGCCAAAAGGGUCAUCAUCUCCACCCCUUCUGCCGAUGCCCCCAUGUUUGUGAUGGGUGUGAACCACGAGAAAUAUGACAACUCACUCAAGAUUGUCAGCAAUGCAUCCUGCACCACCAACUGCUUAGCCCCCCUGGCCAAGGUCAUCCAUGACAACUUUGGCAUUGUGGAAGGGCUCAUGACCACAGUCCAUGCCAUCACUGCCACCCAGAAGACUGUGGAUGGCCCCUCUGGAAAGCUGUGGCGUGAUGGCCGUGGGGCUGCCCAGAACAUCAUCCCUGCAUCCACUGGUGCUGCCAAGGCUGUGGGCAAGGUCAUCCCAGAGCUGAACGGGAAGCUCACUGGCAUGGCCUUCCGUGUUCCUACCCCCAAUGUGUCCGUCGUGGAUCUGACGUGCCGCCUGGAGAAACCUGCCAAGUAUGAUGACAUCAAGAAGGUGGUGAAGCAGGCAUCUGAGGGCCCACUGAAGGGCAUCUUGGGCUACACUGAGGACCAGGUUGUCUCCUGCGACUUCAACAGCAACUCCCACUCUUCCACCUUCGAUGCCGGGGCUGGCAUUGCUCUCAAUGACAACUUUGUCAAGCUCAUUUCCUGGUAUGACAAUGAAUACGGCUACAGCAACAGGGUGGUGGACCUCAUGGCCUACAUGGCCUCCAAGGAGUAAGAAACCCUGGACCACCCACCCCAGCAAGGACACUGAGCAAGAGAGAGGCCCUAUCCCAACUCGGCCCCCAACACUGAACAUCUCCCUCACAAUUUCCAUCCCAGACCCCCAUAAUAACAGGAGGGGCCUAGGGAGCCCUCCCUACUCUCUUGAAUACCAUCAAUAAAGUUCGCUGCACCCACAAAAUAAAUAAAUAAAUAAAUAAAUAAAUAAAUAAAUAAAUAAA
Molecule: RNA transcript, 1647 nt
Organism: Mus musculus (house mouse)
Lineage: Eukaryota; Metazoa; Chordata; Mammalia; Rodentia; Muridae
Gene name: predicted gene 12070
Exons: 2
Source: RefSeq, marked provisional